CUGACCCGAUGGGAUGGGUGUCCCUAUAAGGAGAGACCCCAGAGUGCUCGUGCUCCCUCCUGCCUGCAGGGGCACUCUCCCGGGACAGACCACGCACCAGCCUCUGCGAGCCAGGAAGGAGCCUCUGCAGAAACGGAACCAGCGGGAACCUUGACCUGAGACUUGCAGCCUCCAGAACUGGGAGAAAAUAGAUUUCUGUUGUUUCAAGCCCCCGAGCCUGUGGUAUUUUGUCCCAGCAGCCUGAGCAGGCUGAAAUGGUCCCAAGUUCUUGUCCCACAUCCAGAAGAAUAAGGUUAUGCAGACAACCAGAGAGUGAGCAGGGCAGAAAAAAACUUCUAUUGCAUGAUGGAACAGCUCCCAGCGUUGAGGGGACCUGAGAGUGGGCAGCCACUACCUGAAGGUGAGUAGUCUCUACCCAAAGGU
This 423-nucleotide long non-coding RNA is filed under the name Homo sapiens (human). RNAcentral's name for it is "non-protein coding lnc-RNASEH1-1:7". Lineage: Eukaryota; Metazoa; Chordata; Mammalia; Primates; Hominidae. The record is from RNAcentral.